Non-coding RNA from Oncorhynchus mykiss (rainbow trout), 523 nucleotides. Lineage: Eukaryota; Metazoa; Chordata; Actinopteri; Salmoniformes; Salmonidae. The record is from RefSeq and is a predicted model, not a curated record.
CCUAGGUCUCUGUGUAGGGAGUAGGGAGCCGUUUCACCCUAGGUCUCUGUGUAGGGAGUAGGGUGCCGUUUCACCCUUGGUCUCUGUGUAGGGAGUAGGGAGCUGUUUCACCCUAGGUCUCUGUUGAGGAAAACGUCAUUUGAAUCAUCAGUACGGUAAAGGGAUCUUGUUAUAGUGAAACAGACGGAAACGGCCUGGACAAAAUAAACAACAACAAAAAACAAAAAAACAUUUGCAAAUGAAGUUUUUUGAAAUAAAUGACAGUCUGGCUAAGCCAAACAUUCUACGUCAUAAUGUGGCCCAAUGAUUUCCUCUUUUUCAUGGAUUCUAAAACGUUGUAUGUUUUAUUGAGUAUUACUGUAAUUAUUAUUAUUAUUAUUAUGAUUAUUGUCAUGGCUAUUACUAAUAUUAGUGGCAGGCCACUGGGUAACAUUGUAUGUUGAUAUCCAAAUUAAAUCUGUGCAAGAUAAUGAUGAAAUGUUUAUGAGUUUUAAAAACAAAUAAAAAGAUAAGACUACCAGGA